This 274-nucleotide ribosomal RNA is filed under the name uncultured bacterium. RNAcentral describes it as "partial 16S ribosomal RNA". It matches the Rfam family "Bacterial small subunit ribosomal RNA", at positions 523 to 796 of the family's 1533-position model. The record is from RNAcentral.
AUACGGAGGGUGCAAGCGUUACUCGGAAUUACUGGGCGUAAAGCGUACGUAGGCGGUUAGUUAAGUUAGAUGUGAAAGCCCCGGGCUUAACCUGGGAACUGCAUUUAAAACUGGCUAACUAGAGUUAAGUAGAGGGGAGUGGAAUUUCAGGUGUAGCGGUGAAAUGCGUAGAGAUCUGAAGGAACACCAGUGGCGAAGGCGACUCCCUGGACUUGAACUGACGCUGAGGUACGAAAGCGUGGGUAGCAAACGGGAUUAGAAACCCCAGUAGUCC